This 345-nucleotide ribosomal RNA is filed under the name Triticum aestivum (bread wheat). RNAcentral's name for it is "partial small subunit ribosomal RNA". Lineage: Eukaryota; Viridiplantae; Streptophyta; Magnoliopsida; Poales; Poaceae. The record is from RNAcentral.
AUGGGAACAAAUUGCUGGCGUCGUAAACACCGGAAUUUUCUCACAUCUCAUGACAUUCGUUUGAAGACCAUAGUGUUGGGAUAUUAUAAAGGCUUCCAGGCACAAGUUGACUUUGUUACAUUCUUUGUGCUGAAUGCAAGAUCACUAGAGUCCAUUCAUCUUGUGGUUGAUUCCAGGAAUUACAGCCGCGAAUUUGUCUCAGGACAACGUGAGAAGCUUCAGAUAGAGAAGAGGGCUUCUAGAGGUGCCCGGCUUAGUUUUACGACAGAUAGUCACCAUGAUGUUUCGAGUAUCGGCAAUCUCAAUGAUUUGGAUUUGGCCAAUCCCUUUGCUUGUAGAUGUUGA